CUAGUGGAGUUUUUAAACUCCACAAAUAAUGUCAGGAGAUUAGCA
Non-coding RNA from Gossypium raimondii (Peruvian cotton), 45 nucleotides. NCBI's taxonomy places the organism in Eukaryota, Viridiplantae, Streptophyta, Magnoliopsida, Malvales, Malvaceae. The record is from Rfam.